This 301-nucleotide ribosomal RNA is filed under the name uncultured bacterium. Its description in RNAcentral is "partial 16S ribosomal RNA". It matches the Rfam family "Bacterial small subunit ribosomal RNA", at positions 509 to 809 of the family's 1533-position model. The record is from RNAcentral.
CAGUCGCCGCGGGAAUACGUAGGUGGUGAGCGUUGUCCGGAAUUAUUGGGCGUAAAAGGAGCGCAGGCGGACAUAUAAGUCCAUCUUAAAAGUGCGGGGCUCAACCCCGUGAGGGGAUGGAAACUGUAUGCCUUGAGUGCAGGAGAGGAAAGCGGAAUUCCCAGUGUAGCGGUGAAAUGCGUAGAUACUGGGAGGAACACCAGUGGCGAAGGCGGCUUUCUGGACUGUAACUGACGCUGAGGCUCGAAAGCCAGGGGAGCGAACGGGAUUAGAUACCCCUGUAGUCCCUGUCUCUUAUACA